UACAGAGGUCCCAAGCGUUGUUCGGAUUCACUGGGCGUAAAGGGUGCGUAGGUGGCAAGGUAAGUUUGAUGUGAAAUCUCCGGGCUUAACCCGGAAACUGCAUUGAAUACUAUCUCGCUCGAGAGUUGGAGGGGAGACUGGAACACUUGGUGUAGCAGUGAAAUGCGUAGAUAUCAAGUGGAACACCAGUGGCGAAGGCGAGUCUCUGGACAACUUCUGACACUGAGGCACGAAAGCUAGGGGAGCAAACAGG
RNAcentral lists this ribosomal RNA (253 nucleotides) under uncultured bacterium. RNAcentral's name for it is "partial 16S ribosomal RNA". It matches the Rfam family "Bacterial small subunit ribosomal RNA", at positions 524 to 776 of the family's 1533-position model. The record is from RNAcentral.